Molecule: transfer RNA, 99 nt
Filed under: Streptomyces fumanus
Lineage: Bacteria; Bacillati; Actinomycetota; Actinomycetes; Kitasatosporales; Streptomycetaceae
Description: tRNA-Ala(cgc)
Source: RNAcentral
GGGGCGGGGCGGGGCGGGGCAGACCGGGGUCCCCUCGCACGGGGCCCUGCCGGCGGACCCGGGGCCCGACGCCCUCGGUCACACCGGCGCCGUCCCCCC